Molecule: long non-coding RNA, 842 nt
Organism: Marmota monax (woodchuck)
Lineage: Eukaryota; Metazoa; Chordata; Mammalia; Rodentia; Sciuridae
Exons: 2
Source: RefSeq, a predicted model, not a curated record
CCCAGCCGCUGUCCUGCCGGCCGACACCUCGGCGCUCCAGCUCUAGCCGACACUUCCGGGUGCGACGGCGUAAAGCUGCCGGCUGGGAAACCUGCCCCACCGCUUGGUUGCCCUCCACCGGGGACAAGGAAAGCGGGGACACUGCAGUGUUGCGGUUUUGCAACCCCGAAGGACAGCAGUCCUGAAUGGCUAGCUGUUCGUGUGAGCCACUGAAGGUGCCAGGGACCCGGGCUUUUAUACUUUGGGAGCAGCACCUUCACUCUCGAUGAUCACUAGUUCUGCCCAUAAAGUAGAAUUCUUUGUUGGGAACGAGUUUGAUAAAAUGAGCAAGGCGAUUGGCCAUGGCAUAAAAAGAUGAAAUGGCAGCUAUGUCCCAGGCAUCUUCUCUACUGAAGCCAUAUAUCUCAAGCUUUUUGAAAUGGUCAUCUGUUAUAUCAUCAGCUUGGGAAACAGCAAGUGCAAACUCCAGCAUUGCUUUUUCCCCGAGCAGGAAGGUCAGACUUUCUCCAAUUCACACAGACCUGCAAGAAAAUAUAGUCAGAAGCAGAUUAUCUUGUCUACUGCAAAUAAAUAAUCGAACAAGGGCUUAAUAAAAUUGACAUUGAUGGUUAAAAAAAAAGUCCCUCAAGGUUAGAAUAAAGGAGCAAAAUCAGACUAAAACAAAGUUUUCUGAGAAAAGUAGAGCUCAAAGACUCUCUUUGACCUGCCCCCCACAUCAAUACCAAACAAAAUAUAAUAUUUGCAAAGAGUUUACAUUUAGCAAUUACUAUAAAUUAAGAAUGUGCUCAGUGUUUUGUAUUCAUUAUCUCAUUUAAUUCUUAUAAAAACCCCAGACAGUUGUA